This 25-nucleotide small nuclear RNA is filed under the name Arabidopsis thaliana (thale cress). Its description in RNAcentral is "snRNA_11367". Lineage: Eukaryota; Viridiplantae; Streptophyta; Magnoliopsida; Brassicales; Brassicaceae. The record is from RNAcentral.
UUACUAUAGAAUACUUCAUUCAUCU